CCUACGGGUGGCAGCAGUGGGGAAUAUUGCACAAUGGGGGGAACCCUGAUGCAGCGACGCCGCGUGGGGGAAGGCGGUUUUCGGUAUGUAAAGCCCUAUUCGCAGGGAAGAACAAUGACGGUACCUGACGAGGAAGCAACGGCUAAAUACGUGCCAGCAGCCGCGGUAAUACGUAUGUUGCAAGCGUUAUCCGGAAUUACUGGGUGUAAAGGGAGCGCAGGCGGGGCGUUAAGCCUGGUGUGAAAGCCCGCGACCAAACCGGGGGACUGCAUUUGAAACUGGCGCGCUUGAGUGCCGGAGGGGUAGGCGGAAUUCCGAGUGUAGCGGUGAAAUGCGUAGAUAUUAGGAGGAACACCAGUGGCGAAGGCGGCCUACUGGACGUUAACUGACGCUGAGGCUCGAAAGCGUGGGGAGCAAACAGGAUUAGAUACCCUAGUAGUC
Molecule: ribosomal RNA, 441 nt
Filed under: uncultured bacterium
Lineage: Bacteria
Description: partial 16S ribosomal RNA
Rfam family: Bacterial small subunit ribosomal RNA
Source: RNAcentral